AGGUCAAGCGAAGAAGAGCGCAGGGUGGAUGCCUUGGCACUAAGAGCCGAUGAAAGACGUGAUAAGCUGCGAAAAGUCACGGGGAGGAGCAAAUAUCCAUUGAUCCGUGAAUAUCUGAAUGGGGAAACCCACAUGAGAAUACCUCAUGUAUCCAUACGCCAAUCCAUAACGUAUGGAAGGGAACCCGGUGAACUGAAACAUCUAAGUAGCCGGAGGAAGAGAAAGAAAAAUCGAUUUCCAAAGUAGCGGCGAGCGAAAUGGAAAGAGCCCAAACCGGAGUGCGUGCAUUCCGGGGUUCGGACCGCAUAAUUGAUUCAGCAAUUCCAGCAGAACUGUUUUGGGAAAGCAGACCAGAGAGGGUGAAAGUCCCGUAAGCGAAAGAAGAGCUGACAUGGCGGUAUCCAGAGUACAUCGAGACACGAGAAACCUUGAUGGAAUAAGCGGGGACCACCCCGUAAGGCUAAAUACUACUUAGUGACCGAUAGCGCAUAGUACUGUGAAGGAAAGGUGAAAAGGACCCCGGGAGGGGAGUGAAAGAGAACCUGAAACCCUGUGUUUACAAGCUGUGGAAGCACUUUAUAUGUGCGACCGCGUACUUUUUGUAGAACGGUCCGGCGAGUUACGCUUACUGGCGAGGUUAAGGACUUAAGGUCCGGAGCCGAAGGGAAACCAAGUCUUAAUAGGGCGGUUAUAGUCAGUAGGAGUAGACCCGAAACCGGGUGAUCUAUCCAUGUCCAGGUUGAAGAUGCCGUAAAAGGCGUUGGAGGACCGAACCCACAUCCGUUGAAAAGGGUGGGGAUGAGGUGUGGAUAGGGGAGAAAUUCCAAUCGAACCCGGAGAUAGCUGGUUCUCCUCGAAAUAGCUUUAGGGCUAGCCUCGUUUUAGUCUUGUGGAGGUAGAGCACUGAAUUUCCGCGGGGGCGUCAAAGCUUACCAAAGAAUAUCAAACUCCGAAUGCCAUUAAGAUGAUGAACGGGAGUCAGACUGUACGAGAUAAGUUGGACAGUCAAAAGGGAAAGAGCCCAGACCACCAGCUAAGGUCCCAAAGUGUGUGUUAAGUGGAAAAGGAUGUGGGGAUUCAAAGACAACUAGGAUGUUGGCUCAGAAGCAGCCAUUCAUUCAAAGAGUGCGUAACAGCUCACUAGUCGAGAGUCCCUGCGCCGAAAAUGUCCGGGGCUGAAACACAACACCGAAGCUGUGGAAUCAUACCUAGUAUGAUUGGUAGAGGAGCAUUCUUAAGACCGACGAAGCUGUACCGAUAAGGAGCAGUGGAGGGAUAAGAAGAGAGAAUGCCGGAAUGAGUAGCGAGAGGAAGGUGAGAAUCCUUCCGGCCGAAUAUCCAAGGAUUCCAGGGUAAAGCUGAUCUGCCCUGGGUAAGUCGGGACCUAAGGAGAGGCCGAGAGGCGUAUCCGAUGGACAACAGGUUUAGAUUCCUGUACCACAUAUGGUCAGAACUGUGGGGACGCAGAAGGAAAGCAUGAGCCAGGAAUGGAAAUACUGGUACAAGCAGAGGGGAUGGUGUGCUGGCAAAUCCGCACACAAAAGUCCUUGCUGUGAUGUGGAGCGAACUAGAGUAGCGAAGCAUGCGGACCGGCUGCCGAGAAAAGCCGCUAUUGUGCCAUAUGUGCCCGUACCGUAAACCGACACAGGUGGAUGAGGAGAGAAUCCUAAGGCCGACGGAAGAAGUAUUGUUAAGGAACUCGGCAAAAUGACCCCGUAACUUCGGGAGAAGGGGUGCCUGAGAAAUCAGGCCGCAGAGAAUAGGCUCAAGCAACUGUUUAGCAAAAACACAGGUCUAUGCAAAACCGAAAGGUGAAGUAUAUGGGCUGACGCCUGCCCGGUGCUGGAAGGUUAAGAGGAGAGGUUAGCGCAAGCGAAGCUUUGAAUUUAAGCCCCAGUAAACGGCGGCCGUAACUAUAACGGUCCUAAGGUAGCGAAAUUCCUUGUCGGGUAAGUUCCGACCCGCACGAAAGGCGUAAUGAUUUGAGCACUGUCUCGACAAUACAUCCGGUGAAAUUGAAGUACCAGUGAAGAUGCUGGUUACCCGCGCCAGGACGGAAAGACCCCAUGGAGCUUUACUCCAGUUUGGUACUGGGAUUCGGUACUGCAUGUACAGGAUAGGUGGGAGACGAAGAAGUUAGGACGCCAGUCUUAACAGAGUCGCUGUUGGGAUACCACCCUUGCAGUAUUGGGUUUCUAACCAGCCGCUGUGAACCAGCGGUGGGACAAUGCCAGGCGGGGAGUUUGACUGGGGCGGUCGCCUCCGAAAGGGUAUCGGAGGCGCUCAAAGGUUCCCUCAGAAUGGUCGGAAACCAUUUAAAGAGUGCAAAGGCAGAAGGGAGCUUGACUGCGACACCGACGGGUGGAGCAGGUACGAAAGUAGGACUUAGUGAUCCGGUGGCAUAAAGUGGGAUUGCCAUCGCUCAACGGAUAAAAGCUACCCUGGGGAUAACAGGCUUAUCACUCCCAAGAGUUCACAUCGACGGAGUGGUUUGGCACCUCGAUGUCGGCUCAUCGCAUCCUGGGGCUGUAGCAGGUCCCAAGGGUUGGGCUGUUCGCCCAUUAAAGCGGUACGCGAGCUGGGUUCAGAACGUCGUGAGACAGUUCGGUCCCUAUCCGGCGCGGGCGUAGGAUAUCUGAGGGGAGCUGGCCUUAGUACGAGAGGACCGGGCUGGACGGACCACUGGUGCAUCAGCUGGAUACCAAAUCCAUAGCUGGGUAGCCAAGUCCGGAAGGGAUAAACGCUGAAGGCAUCUAAGCGUGAAGCCCCCCCCAAGAUGAGAUGUCCCUGUCUAUAAGACAGUAAGACCCCUGAAAGAGUAUCAGGUAGAUAGGGCAGAGGUGGAAGCACGGUAACGUGUGGAGCUGACUGUUACUAAUCGGUCGAGGGCUUGACCAAA
This 2899-nucleotide ribosomal RNA is filed under the name Roseburia sp. AF25-13LB. RNAcentral's name for it is "partial 23S ribosomal RNA". It matches the Rfam family "Bacterial large subunit ribosomal RNA". Lineage: Bacteria; Bacillati; Bacillota; Clostridia; Lachnospirales; Lachnospiraceae. RNAcentral also lists the same sequence under 1 other name. The record is from RNAcentral.